CUAAUUUUCGAGUCUUGGACAGGAGGGGGAGACAGGAAUUGGGGAGUGUCUGCCUCUCUUAGGGGCACUGACCAGCCCUUGGUGUCUUUUGGCCUUUUAGCUGAUUUUUCAAUUUGUCAGCCCCAGAGAGGAUUUAUAAUUAGGAAGGAGCAAAGGGAAUUUGAACGCAGGUUGCCUUUGCCGCGGACUAAGGAUUCUCAUUCUCUCAAUGAGAAUCCUUAGUGUCAAGCAGUGAGGUUACCGAGAAUGAAACUUAUCCCUCCUGCCUUCAAAGUAGCAUCCUAUCCCAAGGGACGCUAGGUUGCCUGGAGUUCCUAACCAUCUCGGAGUGAACACCAUUACCUAGUCCGUUUCCGACACUCCCCUCCCCCACGUUAAAAAAGGAAAGGCGGGCGGGCGGCGGGGGGAGAAAAAGGGAUACUCUUUCCUCUUCCAACUCAGAUUUGGUGGCCCACAUGUUGGAGAGUGGUGUUUUCCUGCCGAUCUUCCGCUCCACAAACUCCCAAGCCUACUGACACGUUGCACUCACUGCUUCCGUGUACGGCCGGCACAGUUGCUACACUUAGCAGUUUCACAGAUACGGGCUGUGUUAGACCCUGUGUGCUGUGUAUUUUGGCAAGGAAAUGUAGGCGGGCUUAAAAAUCACACCCAGAUCUCUGAAUAGUGGAAUCCUUGUCCUGUGUGGAUGGGCAUUGGUGGAAAUGACUGGAAAUAGCAUUAGCCUUUCCUGUCCCACCACCCUUCCUCCUACCCUUAGACAAGCAUGUCCCACUUUUCAUAAAUGUUCAUUGAAUUUCUGUAGUUCAUUGUCUGCUUGACUUCGUUUGGCAGUUUUCAUGCUUAUUGACAGCAUGCUUAUUUCAUUGCUUAUUUCAUGCUUAUUUACACACCAGCCACACAGGGACAGAUAAGGACGGAAGUGAGCACACAAUGUUCAUGACAGAUGAACACUCAGGAGGCUAUUUGAAGUUAUUUGUACCUUUUUGUUCAAACAUGAUGAAAGUGAAUGAAAUGCUCUCUCAGGAGAACAGCGGUUCCUUCUGCCCUCUGCCCUCAAUACCUCCAUUUAGAGGUAGCUCCAGAAAACAUUUUAAAAGAAUUUUUUGAACAAAGACAGUAGAGAUUAAAACUUUUUCUUUUAUGUUCUUUCCUUCUCUGUUCAACUUAGUCCACAAUGUGGAGGCUGUAUAGCUGUGAGAGUAAAGCUGUUGGGCUGGUUAUCCUGCUGAAGAUACCAGUUUCUCCUUUGACAUAGUUUCUCUGUGAGCUUUUGGGAAAUUUGUGAAGGCUAGUAUUCAGGUUCUGUCCAAUCAGUUCCCUUGUCCCUGAAGCUUGCUGGUUAUUAAGAGUGUUAGAGAGUAUCUUUGAGGUGAUCUCGGGUGUGCGUUUCACUAGCUUCACUUGCAGACUUUGUAGCUUACAGUGUUAGGUCUCUGAUUUGCUGAGUUAACGUUAAGGUGAAGUUACAGGUAAUGUGUGAUCCUCCACGUUGAGAUCUGCAGAGACUAGGUUUGGUCAAAUUCCUUUUUCUCUUACAUUCUUGGGCUGCUCAGUGGGAAGGAGGGUUGUGGACUGCUGAAUCAUUUCCCCGUCCCCCCAGUGACAGGUGUGAGAUGCAUUCUUGUUCCCUCAGAUUCUACUUAGUGAAGUUUUGGGGGUUAUUGCAUGUUAGAAAUAUUGUUUCCCAUUUUCACUAGUCCCUAUGCCAUUAAUCUAGAGUUUGUUUAAUUAUAAAAGAGGAGACUAUUAAGAGCUGAGAGGGAACUUUAAAUCCUUUUAAGCCAAGAUGUUUCUUUUACAGCUGAAAGUAUUGAGACCUGAGGUCAGGUGACUCACCCUAGGUCAAGUUAGCUAGCUCAGGGAAGAGGAAGGACUGGGAACCCAGACUUCCGUUAUAUCAUACCAGUUGCAACAUCCAUACAUUCUUGGCAAUAAAUCCAUUCUUGGCAAUAAAUCAUUAAAAAUGAAUAACCAUUAUAAAGAAAGGCUCUCUGUAAUAAAGACGUUUUCCAUACCCUGAUUUUUAUAGCCCAAAAGAAGCUGAGCAGAUUCAGCUAAUAUUAGACAACUGUGUACUCAUGUGAUUUUUUUUUUUUUGAGAGAGAUAUCCAAGUGUAAAAGUUACUGUUUCUAAAAAAAAAAAGUUAAAUGUUUGGGAUUUGUUAUACAGGCCCUCAGGAUAAGUUCUUGAUACUUCAAUUGACCUUCCCACCUGUAAAUCUUCUUCAGUAAAAACAAACUUCCGAAUAGUACCAAAUAACAGUUUGACUCCAUUAGUUAAAAUAACAAAAAUCUGGGACCCAGGAGAGGAAUGGUGGCUGAAAGUGUUCUGGCCUCUUGUGCUCUACAGAAUGAUCUAAAGCAUCUCUUUUUGCUUGUUCCUCGUAGUCAGAAGUUUCAUUUUUGGGUCUGUACACUGGAAUUCAUAUACAUUUUUAAUGCACUCACAUUGACUGAGAAAUUUUCAGUUGAACAGUUUUCUGUUCUCUUCAGCAGGAAGUUGUGAUUGUUUUCAACUUGUUAAGAGGUUCUCCUCAUCUUUACCUGGAUCAAUACCUUAAUGACCUCACUCUGUUUUGAAGUGUAGGACUUCUACACUUAAAGUAUCACAUCUUUGCUGUGACCUCCCUUUAAAAGCAAUGUAUAUAACCAAUGGCCAUCUCAAGAUCUGAACCUGGUUAUGUUCAUGACUUGGAAGAUAUAAUCAUGACCUUGGAGAGAGGCCAAAUAUCGUUCCACAGCAUAGUUUCAACUCUCACCUCUGUGCAAAUAUUUACCAGCUUUUAAUUUCAGCCCUGCCAGCUUCUAGUUCCUCAUUCACACAGUGGACGAUCCAUUAGCAGCUGUCUCAAAGGGGCUUUAGGUUUCUCCAAAUUAGAAUUGAUUCCUCCUUCCCCUUUAAAUGGUACGUUGUCAGUGGACCUGGAAUAGCCUCACCAGGUUCUUUCAUGGAUUAGAGUUAUUUAGAUCUGCAUCUAAUAAAAAAACCAGUACACAUUGUUUUUAGGAUUUAAAACAUUCAAAGUGAAGGAUCAUUCCACUGAAUUGUGCCCAUUAGUUAAUAGUUAUGAUGUUUAUCUAUAUAUGUGUGUGUGUCUGGAGUGUGGGAAGAGUUAGUUUCUUAAAAGAUUCAGUUGUUGGCUAACUAAAGUAAGCUUUAGCUGCCCAAAAGAAACGUGCAGUCCAAGUCAUUUCAUGUGCUUGCUAUGGAGAUGCAUCUUUGGAUACGUUGCCUAGCUAUCGCUUGCAAAUAUAUGGUUAACUCUGUGUGUGUGUGUUAGUUACUCAGUCGUGUGACUCUUUACGACUCUGUGGACUGUAGCCCGCCAGGCUCCUCUGUCUAUGGAAUUCUCCAGGCAAGAAUACUGGAGUGGGUUGCCAUUCCCUUCUCCGGGGAUCUUCCUGACCUAGGGAUCAAACCUGGAACUCCCACAUUGCAGGCAGAUUCUUUACCGUCUGAGCUACCAGAGAAGCCCAUACUGCUAACUCUAACCCAUCAUAUACAGAAAAUCAGGGUCACCACUGAGGACAGAAGCACAGUUGAGAAGAAUAGAUCUCAAAAAAAGGAAGGAAAAGAAAAAUGAUAUGAGUUUUUAAAAAAGCAAACAAACAGGAUAUUAAAAAUUCCUGGAAGGUAUUUACUUCCAAAAUGAACCCGAUUCCUUGACUUUCAAAUCUGCUCCUGAAUCACCUUUCCUCAGCUUUGAUGAAAUAUUAUUCCAAAGUGUGAGUGGCUGAGACAGAUUCACUCACAAGUAUGGUGAAAAAAAAAAUGUACUUCUUUUUUGAACCUCUUUCACUGCACUGAAGUGUAAUACCUCUUUACAUGCCUUCUCCCUUUGCUCCUUUUUUCUCAGAUCAUAGCAAAAUGAUUUGUGUGAAUGCCAGGUAUCUAAAAUAAUGUAUCACAGUGUUGAAGGA
Molecule: long non-coding RNA, 3921 nt
Organism: Bubalus bubalis (water buffalo)
Lineage: Eukaryota; Metazoa; Chordata; Mammalia; Artiodactyla; Bovidae
Exons: 2
Source: RefSeq, a predicted model, not a curated record